AUUGAACGCUGGCGGCAUGCCUUACACAUGCAAGUCGAACGGCAGCGCGGGAGCAAUCCUGGCGGCGAGUGGCGAACGGGUGAGUAAUACAUCUGAACGUGCCCAAUCGGGGGGGAUAACGCAUCGAAAGCUGUGCUAAUACCGCAUACGAUCUACGGAUGAAAGCAGGGGAUCGCAAGACCUUGCGCGAAUGGAGCGGCCGAUGGCAGAUUAGGUAGUUGGUGAGGUAAAGGCUCACCAAGCCUUCGAUCUGUAGCUGGUCUGGGAGGACGACCAGCCACACUGGGACUGGGACACGGACAAGACUCCUACGGGACGCAGCAGUGGGGAAUUUUGGACAAUGGGCGAAAGCCUGAUCCAGCCAUGCCGCGUGCAGGAUGAAGGCCUUCGGGUUGUAAACUGCUUUUGUACGGAACGAAACGGUCUUUUCUAAUAAAGAAGGCUAAUGACGGUACCGGAAGAAUAAGCACCGGCUAACUACGUG
This 484-nucleotide ribosomal RNA is filed under the name uncultured bacterium. RNAcentral's name for it is "partial 16S ribosomal RNA". It matches the Rfam family "Bacterial small subunit ribosomal RNA", at positions 30 to 507 of the family's 1533-position model. The record is from RNAcentral.